UUUUGACCUCAAAUCAGGUAGGACUACCCGCU
Molecule: ribosomal RNA, 32 nt
Filed under: Collybia cookei
Lineage: Eukaryota; Fungi; Basidiomycota; Agaricomycetes; Agaricales; Clitocybaceae
Also listed under: 2 other names
Description: partial large subunit ribosomal RNA
Source: RNAcentral